UUGAUAUGCUUAAGUUCAGCGGGUAUCCCUACCUGA
This 36-nucleotide ribosomal RNA is filed under the name Coniosporium sp. SL10201. RNAcentral's name for it is "partial 18S ribosomal RNA". The record is from RNAcentral. Lineage: Eukaryota; Fungi; Ascomycota; Dothideomycetes.